GGAGAGGUGGCCGAGUGGCUGAAGGCGCUCCCCUGCUAAGGGAGUAACGGUUAACGCCGUUCGAGGGUUCGAAUCCCUUCCUCUCCGCCA
This 90-nucleotide transfer RNA is filed under the name Alphaproteobacteria bacterium. RNAcentral describes it as "tRNA-Ser". It matches the Rfam family "tRNA". From Rfam's summary of the family: Transfer RNA (tRNA) molecules are approximately 80 nucleotides in length. Their secondary structure includes four short double-helical elements and three loops (D, anti-codon, and T loops). The record is from RNAcentral. RNAcentral also lists the same sequence under 1 other name. Lineage: Bacteria; Pseudomonadati; Pseudomonadota; Alphaproteobacteria.